CCGCAUAAGCGCACGAGGAGACAUCUCCUAGUGUGAAAAACUCCGGUGGUACAGGAUGGGCCCGCGUCUGAUUAGCUGGUUGGCAGGGUAACGGCCUACCAAGGCAACGAUCAGUAGCCGGUCUGAGAGGAUGAACGGCCACAUUGGAACUGAGACACGGUCCAAACUCCUACGGGAGGCAGCAGUGGGGAAUAUUGCACAAUGGGGGAAACCCUGAUGCAGCAACGCCGCGUGAGUGAAGAAGUAUUUCGGUAUGUAAAGCUCUAUCAGCAGGGAAGAUAAUGACGGUACCUGACUAAGAAGCUCCGGCUAAAUACGUGCCAGCAGCCGCGGUAAUACGUAUGGAGCAAGCGUUAUCCGGAUUUACUGGGUGUAAAGGGUGCGUAGGUGGCAGUGCAAGUCAGAUGUGAAAGGCCGGGGCUCAACCCCGGAGCUGCAUUUGAAACUGCUCGGCUAGAGUACAGGAGAGGCAGGCGGAAUUCCUAGUGUAGCGGUGAAAUGCGUAGAUAUUAGGAGGAACACCAGUGGCGAAGGCGGCCUGCUGGGCUGUUACUGACACUGAGGCACGAAAGCGUGGGGAGCAAACAGGAUUAGAUACCCUGGUAGUCCACGCCGU
This 616-nucleotide ribosomal RNA is filed under the name uncultured bacterium. Its description in RNAcentral is "bacterial SSU rRNA". It matches the Rfam family "Bacterial small subunit ribosomal RNA", at positions 169 to 803 of the family's 1533-position model. The record is from RNAcentral.